AAUUGUCAAAUAUUAAACCAUGCAAUAUGCUUAUUGGAUAAGUAAUAUUAAAGGGUUAUUGAACAGAUGAAAUAAUGGUCAAUCAACAUUUUGUAAUAAAUAAUUUGUAACUUUUCAGUUGACGGUUGCUGGUCGCUCAUGGGCUUCUAGGAAACUUAUACUGUUUCCAGUGGAAAUUGUGUAGAAAGAUGUGACAGUUACAUUUCUGAUUAUUGCGGGGGAAACGAAAAUGAGCAAAUACCAUGUAUUCUAUUUACUCGUCCAGGUGAAUAAUUAAUGCUAUGUUAUACCUUAAUAAAAGCAUCUCUAGAUAUCCG
This 317-nucleotide long non-coding RNA is filed under the name Mytilus galloprovincialis (Mediterranean mussel). Lineage: Eukaryota; Metazoa; Mollusca; Bivalvia; Mytilida; Mytilidae. The record is from RNAcentral.